Molecule: long non-coding RNA, 622 nt
Organism: Leopardus geoffroyi (Geoffroy's cat)
Lineage: Eukaryota; Metazoa; Chordata; Mammalia; Carnivora; Felidae
Exons: 2
Source: RefSeq, a predicted model, not a curated record
AGAGGGACCCUGGAGACACAGUGCCCCAAUUCAGAAGCACCGUGACAAUGGCAGCGAGCUUCUUGAGAGUGAAGAACAGAUCAUGUUCGCCUUGGUGUACCCAGCAUUGGCUGACAAAAGGAUAGGGGGUAAGCCUGUUACUGGAAGCUUAAUUGAAAAUUCUGCUGGCUAGAUGCUGCCUCUUACCCUCUCCUACACAGACAAUCCUAUUAUCCCCAACCUCCCCUGCAUCAUCUGUACUGCAAGCACAGAGACCAAUCAUGGAUCAGGUGGACUUUCUUCCCCCAAAAAGAACAUCAUUUAACAUUUAACAUACUAACAAGGUGACUUUCUGUUCCUCUGAGCAAGGCUCUUCCUCCCUUGGGUGCUCAGUUGAAUUACCUGUGAAGGUGAGUAUAAAUAUGCUCUAUCUGCCCAAAGAGAAGGCAGUUACCAGUUCACCUCUGAAGGUACACUCACUCCAAGAAUCCAGGAUUGUACAGUGAUUUAUGAACUUAGAGUUUCCAAACCACUAGAGCAGAAUUUAUGUGCAAGACAAAUGGACCAAUCACGUGCAAAAAGAACUUGUUCUUAAUGUGAGUGAUGAAAUUCAUUAAAUAAAGGAAACUCUUUUUAAUUGGUA